CCAAAAGUGAUGAUGGAGAGAGUAGGUAUCUGAUGCCUUAAGAGAGGAAAUGCCUUUGGCUGGGAGCAUUUCUAGGUUAGAGGAUACUGAAGUUCACUCCUGAACUGCUAAGUCGAAAUAGUAGUAGGCUUAUGCCGGCUAUGCCGUUAUAUGAAUGAGAGGCUUGCUUACAGCAAGCAAUAAGGGUGGUACCGCGGAGAACCUUCGUCCCUUUG
Molecule: non-coding RNA, 215 nt
Filed under: Caloranaerobacter azorensis
Lineage: Bacteria; Bacillati; Bacillota; Tissierellia; Tissierellales; Thermohalobacteraceae
Description: T-box sequence
Rfam family: T-box leader
About the family: Uncharged tRNA acts as the effector for transcription antitermination of genes in the T-box leader family. T-boxes are found upstream of many aminoacyl-tRNA synthetase genes and some amino acid biosynthetic genes usually in Gram-positive bacteria.
Source: RNAcentral